AAUAGAUACCCUGGUAGUCCACGCCGUAAACGAUGAGCACUAGUUAUUGGGGGUAUUGACUCCCUCAGUGACGCAGCUAACGCAUUAAGUGCUCCGCCUGGGGAGUACGGUCGCAAGACUAAAACUCAAACAAAUUGACGGGGGCCCGCACAAGCGGUGGAUUAUGUGGUUUAAUUCGAAGCAACGCGCAGAACCUUACCUAGGCUUGAACUCCUCAGAAUCCGGGGUAAUGCCUGGAGUGCCCGCAAGGGAAUUGAGUGAGAGGUGCUGCAUGGCUGUCGUCAGCUCGUGUUGUGAAAUGUUGGGUUAAGUCUCGCAACGAGCGCAACCCCUAUCGUCUGUUGCCAGCAUUAAGUUGGGCACUCUGACGAGACUGCCUGGGUUAACCAGGAGGAAGGUGGGGAUGACGUCAAGUCCUCAUGGCCCUUAUGUCUAGGGCUACACACGUAAUACAAUGGCGCGUACAAAGGGAAGCGAACUCGCAAGGGGGAGCAAAUCUCAAAAAGCGCGCCUCAGUUCGGAUUGG
Molecule: ribosomal RNA, 526 nt
Filed under: uncultured bacterium
Lineage: Bacteria
Description: bacterial SSU rRNA
Rfam family: Bacterial small subunit ribosomal RNA
Source: RNAcentral